ACUGGUGAGUAACACGUGGGAAACCUGCCCAGAAGCGGGGGAUAACACCUGGAAACAGAUGCUAAUACCGCAUAACAACUUGGACCGCAUGGUCCGAGUUUGAAAGAUGGCUUCGGCUAUCACUUUUGGAUGGUCCCGCGGCGUAUUAGCUAGAUGGUGGGGUAACGGCUCACCAUGGCAAUGAUACGUAGCCGACCUGAGAGGGUAAUCGGCCACAUUGGGACUGAGACACGGCCCAAACUCCUACGGGAGGCAGCAGUAGGGAAUCUUCCACAAUGGACGAAAGUCUGAUGGAGCAACGCCGCGUGAGUGAAGAAGGGUUUCGGCUCGUAAAACUCUGUUGUUAAAGAAGAACAUAUCUGAGAGUAACUGUUCAGGUAUUGACGGUAUUUAACCAGAAAGCCACGGCUAACUACGUGCCAGCAGCCGCGGUAAUACGUAGGUGGCAAGCGUUGUCCGGAUUUAUUGGGCGUAAAGCGAGCGCAGGCGGUUUUUUAAGUCUGAUGUGAAAGCCUUCGGCUCAACCGAAGAAGUGCAUCGGAAACUGGGAAACUUGA
RNAcentral lists this ribosomal RNA (557 nucleotides) under Lactobacillus sp. Lact15. RNAcentral's name for it is "bacterial SSU rRNA". It matches the Rfam family "Bacterial small subunit ribosomal RNA", at positions 102 to 645 of the family's 1533-position model. Lineage: Bacteria; Bacillati; Bacillota; Bacilli; Lactobacillales; Lactobacillaceae. The record is from RNAcentral.